RNAcentral lists this ribosomal RNA (253 nucleotides) under uncultured bacterium. Its description in RNAcentral is "partial 16S ribosomal RNA". It matches the Rfam family "Bacterial small subunit ribosomal RNA", at positions 524 to 776 of the family's 1533-position model. The record is from RNAcentral.
UACAGAGGUCUCAAGCGUUGUUCGGAUUCAUUGGGCGUAAAGGGCGCGUAGGCGGCGGGGUAAGUCGGGUGUGAAAUCUCAGAGCUCAACUCUGAAAUGGCACUUGAUACUGCUCUGCUAGAGGACUGGAGAGGAGAUUGGAAUUCACGGUGUAGCAGUGAAAUGCGUAGAUAUCGUGAGGAAGACCGGUGGCGAAGGCGGCAUCCUGGACCGACACUGACGCUGAUGAGCGAAAGCUAGGGGAGCAAACGGG